Molecule: ribosomal RNA, 813 nt
Filed under: uncultured bacterium
Lineage: Bacteria
Description: bacterial SSU rRNA
Rfam family: Bacterial small subunit ribosomal RNA
Source: RNAcentral
AGAGUUUGAUCCUGGCUCAGAACGAACGCUGGCGGCGUGGAUAAGACAUGCAAGUCGAGCGCUGAUUACAGGGUAGCAAUAUUCUGUGGUCGGAGCGGCGCAAGGGUGCGUAACACGUGGGUAAUCUGCCAUGAAGUUUGGAAUAACUUGCUGAAAGGCGAGCUAAUACCGGAUGUGACAAUUAGGAGGCAUCUUCCGAUUGUCAAAGCUGGGGACCGUAAGGCCUGGCGCUUCAUGAUGAGCCCGCGGCCUAUCAGCUAGUUGGUGAGGUAACGGCUCACCAAGGCUAAGACGGGUAGCUGGUCUGAGAGGACGACCAGCCACACUGGAACUGAGACACGGUCCAGACACCUACGGGUGGCAGCAGUCGAGAAUUUUUCACAAUGGGCGCAAGCCUGAUGGAGCGACGCCGCGUGGGGGAUGAAUGGCUUCGGCCCGUAAACCCCUGUCAUUUGCGAACAAAUUGGUUCAAUUAACACCUGAACCAUUGAUAGUAGCGAAAGAGGAAGGGACGGCUAACUCUGUGCCAGCAGCCGCGGUAAUACAGAGGUCCCAAGCGUUGUUCGGAUUCACUGGGCGUAAAGGGUGCGUAGGUGGUGAGGUAAGUCGGAUGUGAAAGCUCGGAGCUCAACUCCGAAAUGGCAUUGGAAACUACCUUGCUCGAGGGUUGGAGGGGGGACUGGAAUACUUGGUGUAGCAGUGAAAUGCGUAAUAUCAAGUGGAACCCAGUGGCGAAGGCGAGUCCCUGGACAACUCCUGACACUGAGGCACGAAAGCUAGGGGAGCAAACAGGAUUAGAUACCCNNGUAGUCC